RNAcentral lists this ribosomal RNA (460 nucleotides) under uncultured bacterium. RNAcentral describes it as "partial 16S ribosomal RNA". It matches the Rfam family "Bacterial small subunit ribosomal RNA", at positions 338 to 795 of the family's 1533-position model. The record is from RNAcentral.
CCUACGGGAGGCAGCAGUGAGGAAUAUUGGGCAAUGGACGAGAGUCUGAACCAGCCAAGUAGCGUGAAGGAUGACUGCCCUAUGGGUUGUAAACUUCUUUUAUAUGGGAAUAAAAUGUUUCACGUGUGGGAUUUUGUAUGUACCAUAUGUAUAAGGAUCGGCUAACUCCGUGCCAUCAGCCGCGGUAAUACGGAGGGUGCGAGCGUUAUCCGGAUUUAAUGGGUUUAAAGGGAGCGUAGGUGGAUUGUUAAGUCAGUUGUGAAAGUUUGGGGCUCAACCGUAAAAUUGCAGUUGAAACUGGCAGUCUUGAGUACAGGAGAGGUGAGCGGAAUUCGAGGUGUAGCGGUGAAAUGCUUAGAUAUCACGAAGAACUCCGGUUGCGAAGGCAACUCACUGGACUGCAACUGACACUGAGGCUCGAAAGUGUGGGUAGCAAACAGGAUUAGAUACCCUUGUAGUC